UAGGGGACCUAAAUUACGUUGCAAACUUCAUAGCCAAGAACAUCAAUUUUUUCCAAAGCUUAUUAGUCAUGGUUAAAAGAUAGAUAACACAAGAUGAUUUUUUUGGAAUGUAAUCUUUUUUUUCUUGUUGCCAAUAUGAGAUACGUAUUUUAUUUUUGCAUGCUAAUUGUUGGGAUAUACCGACCGACCUCUGUACGCCGACUUAUCCUCGGAUCGGUCCGACUGAUGCCCGACUCUACCCAUC
This 244-nucleotide long non-coding RNA is filed under the name Elaeis guineensis (African oil palm). RNAcentral's name for it is "long non-coding RNA (EGUI_LNC021061)". Lineage: Eukaryota; Viridiplantae; Streptophyta; Magnoliopsida; Arecales; Arecaceae. The record is from RNAcentral.